UCUGCAUCUUAUUUAUUUGGCUUCCUUGACUUUCAUUGGAACAACUUCGAUCCUCAUGUUGACAAAUGCCUGUAACAGACUCUAAAAGCAAUCAAAAGCUGGAAUCAGAACUGGAUAGGAUACUGAAAGCUCUCUUAUACUUGGACUAAUGAGGCAAUUUCACACACCUGACUAAUUAGAAACACCUGUGAAGCCAUUUGUCCGAGACAUUAUUGUAUCCUGUAAUGGGGGGUGGGGUUCUUUGUAUAAAAAAGGUGCUGCAAUUUCAACAAGCCAAAAUAUACACGAAUACUCUUUAACCCUUUCCUUCGCAUAAGCCCCCUGGUAGCCAGGGUGCUGGCGUGCUGAUAUUGCUCAGUUGUGACAUUCAGUGCUCCUGCUACCAAACUAUGAGUGGAAACAACAAACUCAAAAAAUCAACCAAAUCAACAACAGCUGAAUGUAUUCGUCAAUUAAAUUUGGGUAAUUGCUUGAUUGAAUAAAUGAGGGAGUAAUUGCUUUUUUCUCAAACACAAAUCUUUUUUUCUUUACAAAGUUCCAACUAAAGUUGGAAGAAAAAGUAUGAGAUCAUUGAAGCCACCUUGUCACACCAUGCUGAUAAUUUUGCUUUGUCGUUAUGCUUUCUGGUUCAUAUCCCAUGGUUGAUACUUCCUGGAAGGAUUAUAGAUUGUGGCGUCAUUGUCCAGUCCUUCAUACGUUGGUCCUAACUCUCCACUCUCAAUCCAACGGUGGCUGGUGCCACCUGUAUUUUAGUCCCUGAGAGGCACGGCGCACAGAAGCUGACAGCCUACGCGCCGCUGGACCGCCGUCUGCCUCUCCGCCUUCGAGCCGUGAUUUCCCCACGGAGGCGCGUCUCGCGAACACGCGGCUAACCCGCCGAGCGUCUCGCGGCUCCCCGAAUCCAGCGGCCCGCGGCGCGGCGCUAGUAGCUCCGAAGCGCGGAGAUCGCGCCCGCUCAAUGGCUCUGCAGGGCUGGUGAAAUAAUGUCUCUUUGUUUCCAGGCUGAGAUGGAGGGGAGGGGGGGGAGAUCAGUCAGCACUAAUGCUGGGAAUACACUGGGAAAUACAGUGUGUGUGAUGCGGUAGAAACCCAGAGCUGUGGAGCAUGGACCCAGUCAGCAGGAGUCAUGUUAUAAAGAUCAUAUGUAUCACAAGUCUUUUGUUCUUGUCCUGUCAGCACUAAUGUGAUGGUUGAGCUGCCUUUUUUUUCUGCAUGUGUGUGUCCUGUCCUGCAGAGCCGUUAUGGAAUUAAGACACAUACGCCUUUCGACUGGUCCUUCAAGCAUGGACACAUUUUUGCAAGCAGGCUUUGAUCAGCACCAGGGCUCCAAGGUCACAACCUAAAAAUCCACCAAGCUUUCCCUCAACCUCCAUUUCUCCUCGCUACUCCUUAGUAUCUUAGCAACUGACCCUCCUCCCACUUUUUUGGGUUUUGGCCAAACAGAUGACAAACGUUCAUACUGAGCAUAUGAUUGCGGCGCCACUCUCACAGGAAAACAGAAAGAAAAAUCAUCUUUUAAAAAUCAUUAAUAAGAGGAAGCUGUGUGGGCCGUCUAUUGUGCGAUGUCCUUACCUGAAUACUCAUUGAAGAAUGAAAGCUCAGAGCCGCUGAUGUGCAUGAAAGACAUGGCCUUGAUUUCUCCUGACAGCAUUGCUGCCCAGAGGCUCACACAUGGCUCACAGCAUCUUUUCUCUGUUCUGUCAGCAAUCUGCUGCUUUUACACCGACUCCCUUCCCCGUCCUCGCUACUGUCUGCGAGCGCGCGCAGGCGAUCCCCACCGCACACCCGGGUGAGGGAUGGAAACGCAGCGUGAUCGCAUUUUUAUGAACGAACAGAAGAUGUUUACAGCUGAGAGAUGGAGGUUCGCCGACAACACCUGCUCGCGGUUAACUAAUAAAUCGUGUUUUUAUUGUUAAGAACACAGU
Anguilla rostrata (American eel) is the source of this 1925-nucleotide long non-coding RNA. RefSeq lists it as uncharacterized. The record is from RefSeq and is a predicted model, not a curated record. NCBI's taxonomy places the organism in Eukaryota, Metazoa, Chordata, Actinopteri, Anguilliformes, Anguillidae. The transcript has 2 exons.